Molecule: ribosomal RNA, 253 nt
Filed under: uncultured bacterium
Lineage: Bacteria
Description: partial 16S ribosomal RNA
Rfam family: Bacterial small subunit ribosomal RNA
Source: RNAcentral
UACGUAGGGACCGAGCGUUGUCCGGAAUCAUUGGGCGUAAAGAGCGUGUAGGCGGCCCGGUAAGUCCGCUGUGAAAGUCCAGGGCUCAACCCUGGGAUGCCGGUGGAUACUGUCGGGCUCGAGUCCGGAAGAGGAGUGUGGAAUUCCUGGUGUAGCGGUGAAAUGCGCAGAUAUCAGGAGGAACACCAAUGGCGAAGGCAGCACUCUGGGACGUGACUGACGCUGAGACGCGAAAGCGUGGGGAGCAAACAGG